CAAGCUUGAUACUGGUUGUUGUAGUAACUCAUUGUUGAAAUCAAGAUAUGAUAUCACCUCUGAAAAACUUGUUUGGUAUAUGAAAAAACCAAAUGAAUGAAAUAAAAUAUUGUGUUCUAUAGAGUUGGCUAGUUGUUCUUUAAGGUCUUCGUCAAUAUUAAUCUAUUGGACGGGUGGUGCAUAAGAUUAAGAGGGCGGAAGAGGAUACAUCUGCUUGACUUUUACAAAGAAAUGGCUGCUUCUUAAUGCAUGGAAAAACUUUAGGGCC
Long non-coding RNA from Populus euphratica (Euphrates poplar), 268 nucleotides. RefSeq lists it as uncharacterized. The record is from RefSeq and is a predicted model, not a curated record. The transcript is spliced from 2 exons. NCBI's taxonomy places the organism in Eukaryota, Viridiplantae, Streptophyta, Magnoliopsida, Malpighiales, Salicaceae.